GACGAACGCUGGCGGCGUGCUUAACACAUGCAAGUCGAACGGAAAGGCCCUGCUUUUGUGGGGUGCUCGAGUGGCGAACGGGUGAGUAACACGUGAGUAACCUGCCCUUGACUUUGGGAUAACUUCAGGAAACUGGGGCUAAUACCGGAUAGGAGCUCCUGCUGCAUGGUGGGGGUUGGAAAGUUUCGGCGGUUGGGGAUGGACUCGCGGCUUAUCAGCUUGUUGGUGGGGUAGUGGCUUACCAAGGCUUUGACGGGUAGCCGGCCUGAGAGGGUGACCGGCCACAUUGGGACUGAGGUACGGCCCAGACUCCUACGGGAGGCAGCAGUGGGGAAUAUUGCACAAUGGGCGGAAGCCUGAUGCAGCAACGCCGCGUGCGGGAUGACGGCCUUCGGGUUGUAAACCGCUUUCGCCUGUGACGAAGCGUGAGUGACGGUAAUGGGUAAAGAAGCACCGGCUAACUACGUGCCAGCAGCCGCGGUGAUACGUAGGGUGCGAGCGUUGUCCGGAUUUAUUGGGCGUAAAGGGCUCGUAGGUGGUUGAUCGCGUCGGAAGUGUAAUCUUGGGGCUUAACCCUGAGCGUGCUUUCGAUACGGGUUGACUUGAGGAAGGUAGGGGAGAAUGGAAUUCCUGGUGGAGCGGUGGAAUGCGCAGAUAUCAGGAGGAACACCAGUGGCGAAGGCGGUUCUCUGGGCCUUUCCUGACGCUGAGGAGCGAAAGCGUGGGGAGCGAACAGGCUUAGAUACCCUGGUAGUCCACGCUGUAAACGGUGGGUACUAGGUGUGGGGUCCAUUCCACGGGUUCCGUGCCGUAGCUAACGCUUUAAGUACCCCGCCUGGGGAGUACGGCCGCAAGGCUAAAACUCGAAGGAAUUGACGGGGCCCCGCACAAGCGGCGGAGCAUGCGGAUUAAUUCGAUGCAACGCGUAGAACCUUACCUGGGUUUGACAUGGAUCGGGAGUGCUCAGAGAUGGGUGUGCCUCUUUUGGGGUCGGUUCACAGGUGGUGCAUGGCUGUCGUCAGCUCGUGUCGUGAGAUGUUGGGUUAAGUCCCGCAACGAGCGCAACCCUUGUUCACUGUUGCCAGCACGUUAUGGUGGGGACUCAGUGGAGACCGCCGGGGUCAACUCGGAGGAAGGUGGGGAUGACGUCAAGUCAUCAUGCCCCUUAUGUCCAGGGCUUCACGCAUGCUACAAUGGCUGGUACAGAGAGUGGCGAGCCUGUGAGGGUGAGCGAAUCUCGGAAAGCCGGUCUCAGUUCGGAUUGGGGUCUGCAACUCGACCUCAUGAAGUCGGAGUCGCUAGUAAUCGCAGAUCAGCAACGCUGCGGUGAAUACGUUCCCGGGGCU
RNAcentral lists this ribosomal RNA (1346 nucleotides) under uncultured bacterium. RNAcentral's name for it is "partial 16S ribosomal RNA". It matches the Rfam family "Bacterial small subunit ribosomal RNA", at positions 28 to 1381 of the family's 1533-position model. The record is from RNAcentral.